UGGGGGAUAUUGCACAAUGGGCGCAAGCCUGAUGCAGCGACGCCGCGUGGGGGAUGAAGGCCUUCGGGUUGUAAACUUCUUUUGCUCUGAACAAGGCGCACUUUGGGGUGUGUUGAGUGUAGGGGUUGAUUAGCGCCGGCUAACUACGUGCCAGCAGCCGCGGUAAUACGUAGGGCGCGAGCGUUGUCCGGAAUUAUUGGGCGUAAAGGGCUUGUAGGUGGCUGGUUGCGUCUGUCGUGAAAGCUCAUGGCUUAACUGUGGGUUUGCGGUGGGUACGGGCUGGCUUGAGUGCAGGAGGGGAGGCUGGAAUUCCUGGUGUAGCGGUGGAAUGCGCAGAUAUCAGGAGGAAUACCGGGGGCGAAGGCGGGUCUCUGGGCUGUUACUGACACUGAGGAGCGAAAGCAUGGGGAGAGAACAGG
This 419-nucleotide ribosomal RNA is filed under the name bacterium. RNAcentral's name for it is "partial 16S ribosomal RNA". It matches the Rfam family "Bacterial small subunit ribosomal RNA", at positions 355 to 776 of the family's 1533-position model. The record is from RNAcentral.